RNAcentral lists this long non-coding RNA (237 nucleotides) under Durio zibethinus. RNAcentral's name for it is "long non-coding RNA (DZIB_LNC001112)". The record is from RNAcentral. Lineage: Eukaryota; Viridiplantae; Streptophyta; Magnoliopsida; Malvales; Malvaceae.
UAAGUUGUACCCCCGCUAGGGCUUUUGCACUAUACAACAAGUUUACAUAUAUUAGUAACUAAUCUUAAUUAGCUCAACUCAUGUCCUUCAAGACCACACUCAUCUUGGCCUAUAUGGCCCAUUCAACACCAUUCUAUGGUAUAUGCCACUUUUGCAUUUCGGUCUCAUCUAAUGUCCACCACUCAAUGGGCAUUGCAUAUCCGUAUGAGCUAAUACUAUUCACUAAGUAGGCUAAAC